UACGAAGGGGGCUAGCGUUGCUCGGAAUCACUGGGCGUAAAGCGCACGUAGGCCGAUUGUUAAGUCAGGGGUGAAAUCCUGGAGCUCAACUCCAGAACUGCCCUUGAUACUGGCGACCUUGAGUCCGGGAGAGGUGAGUGGAACUGCGAGUGUAGAGGUGAAAUUCGUAGAUAUUCGCAAGAACACCAGUGGCGAAGGCGGCUCACUGGCCCGGUACUGACGCUGAGGUGCGAAAGCGUGGGGAGCAAACAGG
This 253-nucleotide ribosomal RNA is filed under the name uncultured bacterium. RNAcentral's name for it is "partial 16S ribosomal RNA". It matches the Rfam family "Bacterial small subunit ribosomal RNA", at positions 524 to 776 of the family's 1533-position model. The record is from RNAcentral.